Molecule: long non-coding RNA, 247 nt
Filed under: Physcomitrium patens
Lineage: Eukaryota; Viridiplantae; Streptophyta; Bryopsida; Funariales; Funariaceae
Description: long non-coding RNA (PPAT_LNC007888)
Source: RNAcentral
ACAUUUUACCAAAGCCCUUUGAAAACACAUGAGUUGCUACUUCAUAAUAACAAUUCAAGUCCAAGAGUAGUUUUCUAAAUGUCUCUUUGUUCUUCAAUUGAAUCAUUGCUGUCUUGCACCAUUUCUUUUUUCUACAAUUUUUCACCAAUAUAUAAGCUUUAUCUAAUGUGAUCAACAACUCCCUCAAUAAAUCCCCAUACUUCAAUCCAUCAUUGCUACAAAUCAUCAAGUAGUCAUACACCUUAAC